UUAAACCAGGGUUAGAUACCCUGUUAUACCAAAGUUAAAAUGACAGUGAUCUUGAGUAGUAACAAUUAAUUAGUUCGAAAUUCAAAGAGUUUGGCGGUAUUCUAGUCUAGUUAGAGGAACCUGUUUCAUAAACGAUAUUCCGCGUAAAAUUUCUCUCAUUUUGGCUAGAGCUAGUAUACCAUCAUUAUUAGAUAAUUUUAUUUUCUAAAGAAAUUAUUGUAAUUGGGUAACUCCAAAUAUAUUAGAUCACGGUGCUGCUGAUAGGUGAGUGCAAAUGGGUUACAAUAAUCUUAAUUUAUUACGGACUUGUGGCUGAAAAUAUCACAAGGAAGGUGGAUUUGAUAGUAAUACAAAUUUAGUAUGUUUAUAUGAGAUCAGCUCUAGAAUAUGUACAUAUCGGCCGUCGCAA
RNAcentral lists this ribosomal RNA (409 nucleotides) under Galearctus rapanus. RNAcentral describes it as "partial 12S ribosomal RNA". The stretch from base 54 to 409 matches the Rfam family "Microsporidia small subunit ribosomal RNA", at positions 752 to 1204 of the family's 1311-position model. The record is from RNAcentral. Lineage: Eukaryota; Metazoa; Arthropoda; Malacostraca; Decapoda; Scyllaridae.